Molecule: ribosomal RNA, 292 nt
Filed under: uncultured bacterium
Lineage: Bacteria
Description: partial 16S ribosomal RNA
Source: RNAcentral
GGACUACUGGGGUAUCUAAUCCCGUUCGCUCCCCUGGCUUUCGCGCCUCAGCGUCAGUAAAGGCCCAAGAAGCCGCCUUCGCCACCGGUGUUCCGACUGAUAUCUACGCAUUUCACCGCUACACCAGCCAUUCCACUUCUCUCUACCUCACUCAAGACCGACAGUAUGAGAGGCAGUUCCGGGGUUGAGCCCUGGAAUUUCACCUCUCACUUAACGGCCCGCCUACGCGCGCUUUACGCCCAGUAACUUCGGACAACGCUCGCUCCCUACGUAUUACCGCGGCUGCUGGCAC